RNAcentral lists this small nuclear RNA (309 nucleotides) under Erinaceus europaeus (western European hedgehog). Its description in RNAcentral is "7SK RNA". It matches the Rfam family "7SK RNA". From Rfam's summary of the family: 7SK was discovered as an abundant small nuclear RNA in the mid-70s but a possible function has only recently been suggested. Two independent studies have found that 7SK RNA binds the CDK9/cyclin T complex (known as elongation factor P-TEFb). P-TEFb activates transcription by phosphorylating the C-terminal domain of RNA polymerase II. Lineage: Eukaryota; Metazoa; Chordata; Mammalia; Eulipotyphla; Erinaceidae. The record is from Rfam by way of RNAcentral.
GGAUGGGAGGGCAAUCUGGCUGUGACAUCUGCCACCCCAUUGAUCAGCAGGGCUGAUGCGGCUGAGCUGGCUGCCUAAACAGGUGUCCCCUCCCUUCCUUACUGCUCCAUGUGCGUCCCUCCUGAAGCUGCAUACAAGGAAGAAGAAGACGGCCUUCCCCGAAUAAAGAUGGACCGGUCUUGGGCAGAGUGUUUGUGAGUAGCUGCACUGCAGGCUAGAACCUCCAAACAAUCUCUCAAGGUCCAUUUUUAUCAUCAUUUAAAGGUUCAGGCUCAUCCGAACAACUAUAUAUUUAUGAUGAUCAGAUUC